UCCCCGGUGCCCAGCCCUGGGGGUGCAGCACAGCUGGCGAUUACAGCUGCGGACGUGAGGACUCCACUGCGAGCUGAGCGGGAACAGCCCCUGCCCCUGGCUGAGGCGCAGAGGCACGGAAUGCUCACACUGCCAAGGGCUGAGGGAGCCAAUGGCGCUGCUGCUGGACCAGGCACAAACGCAGCAGGAGCAUUUCAGGCACGGCAAGGACAGCUCAUUUCCCUGCCUGCUCCCGCGGCUGCUUCCUUUGCUGCCCCGAGAGUGGUUUCCGGCAGCUCUGUUCUCUCAGCGCUGGGACGAGCUCUGUGACUCUGCCUCACUCAGCAAACACGCACCUUGGGCUCGGCAUGCACCUCGCCUAUCUCAUCCUCACCGUCUUCCUGGGACAGCUCCUGGGCACCUCAGGGCAAACCACGGUCACCCAGGAAGAUGGAGCAGUCACAGUGAAGCAGGGACACCCCUUCCACACCACCUGCAAAUACCAGACCAGUUAUUCUCCUGUCGUGCUCUGGUACCAGCUACGGCAAGGCCAAGGCCCACAGCUGCUCUCCUAUCAAGCAGGGCCUGGCCCCAAGCACAGCGGCCGUUUCACCACGCACCUGAACACCACGGGGAAAUACAGUGUCCUGCAGGUGCAGCAAGUGGAGCUCUCUGACACUGCCUUGUACCUCUGUGCUGUGCAAGACACCCUGGAAAAUAUUCUGGACUAUUUUGACUAA
Non-coding RNA from Prinia subflava (tawny-flanked prinia), 719 nucleotides. Lineage: Eukaryota; Metazoa; Chordata; Aves; Passeriformes; Cisticolidae. The record is from the annotation of a RefSeq genome assembly.